Nothobranchius furzeri (turquoise killifish) is the source of this 483-nucleotide long non-coding RNA. RefSeq lists it as uncharacterized. The record is from RefSeq and is a predicted model, not a curated record. NCBI's taxonomy places the organism in Eukaryota, Metazoa, Chordata, Actinopteri, Cyprinodontiformes, Nothobranchiidae.
AACCCUUUUGGGUGGGCGGGACUUCUGAGAAGUCCUCUCCCAUAGGACAGUGGUUUCUCUUGAGUGACAGUUCAGUGACCUGGAAGUGAUGUAGCCUCCCAGACAUUUUUUUUCCCACCUGGUCAACAACAUGAAUUUUGAGCCCCAAACAGGUUAUUUCUGCUGUCUGUGGUGUCUACUGAGGAUCUAAAGAACCUGUGGAACAUCAGAGACUUUGCAGCUAUUAGAGCUAACCUGUGUACUGCUAACUUGCUACAGAGGAAGCAGCAGAAAGCUGAGCUAACAGGCUGUUUUGCAGUGAAACGAAUGGAUUUUAUGAUGUAACUCUGACUGAAUAAUUAUCUAAGUGAGUGUGUUUGAUAAUACAUUUCUUUCCAGUAUACAGAUCUGACAUUUGUUUGUCAGAACAAGACAAAUCAGAUUCAAUGUUCUUUCUGUCACGUGUUCUGUAUUCUCCAUCAAAAGAAUGUUAUCCAGGACAGA